CCUGCAGUCGAGGGGUAACAGGGAAAAGCUUGCUUUUCCGCUGACGACCGGCGCACGGGUGCGUAACGCGUAUGCAACCUACCUCUUACUGGGGUAUAGCCCAGAGAAAUUUGGAUUAAUCCCCCAUAGUACCAUUCAAUCGCAUGGUUGAAUGGUUAAAGGUUACGGUAAGAGAUGGGCAUGCGUCCCAUUAGUUAGUUGGUGAGGUAAUGGCUCACCAAGACUCCGAUGGGUAGGGGUUCUGAGAGGAUGAUCCCCCACACUGGUACUGAGACACGGACCAGACUCCUACGGGAGGCAGCAGUGAGGAAUAUUGCGCAAUGGACGAAAGUCUGACGCAGCCAUGCCGCGUGCAGGAUGACGGCGCUACGCGUUGUAAACUGCUUUUAUUUACAAAGAGACCUCGGGACGUGUCCCGAGCUGACGGUAGUAUUUGAAUAAGCACCGGCUAACUCCGUGCCAGCAGCCGCGGUAAU
Molecule: ribosomal RNA, 476 nt
Filed under: uncultured Bacteroidota bacterium
Lineage: Bacteria; Pseudomonadati; Bacteroidota
Description: bacterial SSU rRNA
Rfam family: Bacterial small subunit ribosomal RNA
Source: RNAcentral